RNAcentral lists this ribosomal RNA (406 nucleotides) under uncultured bacterium. RNAcentral's name for it is "partial 16S ribosomal RNA". It matches the Rfam family "Bacterial small subunit ribosomal RNA", at positions 30 to 526 of the family's 1533-position model. The record is from RNAcentral.
AUUGAACGCUGGCGGCAGGCCUAACACAUGCAAGUCGAGCGAGCGGCGGACGGGUGAGUAAUGUCUGGGAAACUGCAUGAUGGAGGGGGAAAACUACUGGGAACGGGAGAUAAUACCGCAUACCAUCAAAUGUGCCAAGCUGGGAUUAACUAGUAGGUCGGGUAACGGCCCACCUAGGCGACGAUCCCUAGCUGGUCUGAGCGGAUGACCAGCCAGACUGGACCUGAUACACGGUCCAGACUCCUACGGUAGGCAGCAGUGGGGAAUAUUGCACAAUGGGCGCAAGCCGGAUGCAGCCAUGCCGCGUGUGUGAAGAAGGCCUUCGGGUUGUAAAGCACUUUCAGCGGGGAGGCGUUACCCGCAGAAGAAGCACCGGCUAACUCCGUGCCAGCAGCCGCGGUAAUUC